Molecule: ribosomal RNA, 95 nt
Filed under: Serratia liquefaciens
Lineage: Bacteria; Pseudomonadati; Pseudomonadota; Gammaproteobacteria; Enterobacterales; Yersiniaceae
Also listed under: 3 other names
Source: RNAcentral
CCUGGCGGCAAUAGCGCGGUGGUCCCACCUGACCCCAUGCCGAACUCAGAAGUGAAACGCCGUAGCGCCGAUGGUAGUGUGGGGUCUCCCCAUGC